This is a non-coding RNA of Odocoileus virginianus texanus, 438 nucleotides long. Lineage: Eukaryota; Metazoa; Chordata; Mammalia; Artiodactyla; Cervidae. The record is from RefSeq and is a predicted model, not a curated record.
CCUGCAGGUCUUACUGGAGGUUGGAGAGGGAUUCAGUCCUCCCUGAGUGCUGAAGAAGACCAAAGAGCAGGAGCUGUCAAACAGGAUGUCGUGCCAGCAGAAUUCUCAUUGAACACUUGAUGUCAUAUGUCAUCUGACACUGGCUCUUCAGUCGGGUCAUUCCAGGAUAAGAUACUGGAGAUACCAUGGGGAGAAAAAAGGUGAUGGUCUUGGCCUAGCCAUUUGGAGCUCUGACUUGAGUCUCUACAUUUCAUGGCAUCAAGAAGACAUCAAAAUACCAGUGAUGAGCAUAUCAUGAGAGGACAGAGCAUCAUCAUAUAAAAAGCUACCCAGACUUUAAUGGUGACUUCUGGACUGUGGACUCAAGGGUUCCCUGAUUACCUGAGCCUUCCCCCAAAAUGAGGACUGCCCCCAAGGACUCUGCCUCUGUCUUCAGGU